This 497-nucleotide ribosomal RNA is filed under the name uncultured bacterium. Its description in RNAcentral is "partial 16S ribosomal RNA". It matches the Rfam family "Bacterial small subunit ribosomal RNA", at positions 28 to 507 of the family's 1533-position model. The record is from RNAcentral.
GAUGAACGCUGGCGGCGUGCCUAAUACAUGCAAGUCGAGCGAACAGACGAGGAGCUUGCUCCUCUGACGUUAGCGGCGGACGGGUGAGUAACACGUGGAUAACCUACCUAUAAGACUGGGAUAACUUCGGGAAACCGGAGCUAAUACCGGAUAAUAUAUUGAACCGCAUGGUUCAAUAGUGAGAGACGGUUUUGCUGUCACUUAUAGAUGGAUCCGCGCCGCAUUAGCUAGUUGGUAAGGUAACGGCUUACCAAGGCAACGAUGCGUAGCCGACCUGAGAGGGUGAUCGGCCACACUGGAACUGAGACACGGUCCAGACUCCUACGGGAGGCAGCAGUAGGGAAUCUUCCGCAAUGGGCGAAAGCCUGACGGAGCAACGCCGCGUGAGAGAUGAAGGUCUUCGGAUCGUAAAACUCUGUUAUUAGGGAAGAACAAAUGUGUAAGUAACUAUGCACGUCUUGACGGUACCUAAUCAGAAAGCCACGGCUAACUACGUG